This is a small nuclear RNA of 165 nucleotides. Its record names the gene U1. It matches the Rfam family "U1 spliceosomal RNA". From Rfam's summary of the family: U1 is a small nuclear RNA (snRNA) component of the spliceosome (involved in pre-mRNA splicing). Its 5' end forms complementary base pairs with the 5' splice junction, thus defining the 5' donor site of an intron. The record is from Ensembl.
AUACUUACCUGGCAGGGGAGAUACCAUGAUCACGAAGGUGGUUUUCCCAGGGCGAGGCUUAUCCAUUGCACUCCGGAUGUGCUGACCCCUGCGAUUUCCCCAAAUGCGGGGAAACUCGACUGCAUAAUUUGUGGUAGUGGGGGACUGCGUUCGCGCUCUCCCCUG